Molecule: transfer RNA, 74 nt
Filed under: Alteromonas sp.
Lineage: Bacteria; Pseudomonadati; Pseudomonadota; Gammaproteobacteria; Alteromonadales; Alteromonadaceae
Also listed under: 1 other name
Description: tRNA-Lys
Rfam family: tRNA
About the family: Transfer RNA (tRNA) molecules are approximately 80 nucleotides in length. Their secondary structure includes four short double-helical elements and three loops (D, anti-codon, and T loops).
Source: RNAcentral
UGAGGUAUGGCGUAGUUGGUUAGCGCACCGUGCUUUUAACACGGGAGUCCUGGGUUCGAACCCCAGUGCCUCAA